UGACAGCUUUCCUCCACUAUGCCCUUCCACCAGGAUGUUCUGUCUUAAGUAGGUCCAGAGAAAUGGAGAUGGCUGACCGUUGGACUGAACAUCAAACUGGCAAGUGUGGCAUGUGAUGCCAUUGGGCAGAGGUCUCUGCCUGACAGACCUGUGUGCCUUCACCACAUUUCCGGACUGAGCUGAAGCUCAGAAGGGAAACUGACACAGGAAAGUCCCUGCAGGAAGCCUGCUGCUGGUGCAGGUUGCCAGGGCAACCUGCAGCUGCUCUCUUUCCUUGAAAGAGGAUGGGCUUGUGGAAGCCCAGAUGUACUCUACCCUCCAAUGGUGCAGCCCCAUGGGACUGGCCAUGCAUUCGCAUCUCAUCCAAUCCACUUCUCUGGGGAGUCCGGCGCAGGGCCAUCAUGCCUAUUUGACAUGUGAGAGAACUGAGGCCCAGAGUCAUGAAGGAACUUGCCUAGGUUUGCAUGAUUAAAAAGUAGCUCAGA
Long non-coding RNA from Marmota flaviventris (yellow-bellied marmot), 485 nucleotides. RefSeq lists it as uncharacterized. NCBI's taxonomy places the organism in Eukaryota, Metazoa, Chordata, Mammalia, Rodentia, Sciuridae. The record is from RefSeq and is a predicted model, not a curated record.